Molecule: ribosomal RNA, 433 nt
Filed under: uncultured bacterium
Lineage: Bacteria
Description: partial 16S ribosomal RNA
Rfam family: Bacterial small subunit ribosomal RNA
Source: RNAcentral
AACGAACGCUGGCGGCAUGCCUAACACAUGCAAGUCGAACGAUCCCUUCGGGGAUAGUGGCGCACGGGUGCGUAACGCGUGGGAACCUGCCCUUAGGUUCGGAAUAACUCAGAGAAAUUUGAGCUAAUACCGGAUAAUGUCUUCGGACCAAAGAUUUAUCGCCUUUGGAUGGGCCCGCGUUGGAUUAGCUAGUUGGUGGGGUAAAGGCCUACCAAGGCGACGAUCCAUAGCUGGUCUGAGAGGAUGAUCAGCCACACUGGGACUGAGACACGGCCCAGACUCCUACGGGAGGCAGCAGUGGGGAAUAUUGGACAAUGGGCGAAAGCCUGAUCCAGCAAUGCCGCGUGAGUGAUGAAGGCCUUAGGGUUGUAAAGCUCUUUUACCCGGGAUGAUAAUGACAGUACCGGGAGAAUAAGCCCCGGCUAACUCCGUG